RNAcentral lists this transfer RNA (60 nucleotides) under Laeocathaica amdoana. RNAcentral's name for it is "tRNA-Trp". The record is from RNAcentral. Lineage: Eukaryota; Metazoa; Mollusca; Gastropoda; Stylommatophora; Camaenidae.
AAGCCUGUAGGUUAAUAAAACCACUAGCCUUCAAAGCUGGAAUUGUGUAAGCUAGGCUUG